UGCAAAGCCGCGAGGCAGAGNGACCCCAAAAAGACCGUCUCAGUUCGGAUCGCAGGCUGCAACCCGCCUGCGUGAAGUCGGAAUCGCUAGUAAUCGCGGAUCAGCAUGCCGCGGUGAAUACGUUCCCGGGCCUUGUACACACCGCCCGUCACACCAUGAGAGUCGGGAACACCCGAAGUCCGUAGCCUAACCGCAAGGAGGGCGCGGCCGAAGGUGGGUUCGAUAAUUGGGGUGAAGUCGUAACAAGGUAGC
RNAcentral lists this ribosomal RNA (252 nucleotides) under uncultured bacterium. RNAcentral describes it as "partial 16S ribosomal RNA". It matches the Rfam family "Bacterial small subunit ribosomal RNA", at positions 1248 to 1500 of the family's 1533-position model. The record is from RNAcentral.